UGAAACAUCUCAGUACCUGGAGGAAAAGAAAUCAACCGAGAUUCCCCAAGUAGUGGCGAGCGAAAGGGGAAGAGCCCAAACCUGCUGGAUGUAAUAGGCGGCAGUCGUUGUUCAGCGGGGGUUGUAGGAGUGGGUGUGAUAGUCCUGCCGGACUAUCGGGAAGUCAGAAAACUCUGCGUUAGUCGAAGCGAGCUGGAAAGCUCCGUCAUAGAAGGUGAUAACCCUGUAGGCGAAAAUGGAGAGUCUUCCUAAUUCAGUCCUGAGUACCAUGAGGCACGUGAAACCUUAUGGGAAGCCGGGUGGACCAUCAUCCAAGGCUAAAUACGAAUUUCCGACCGAUAGCGAGCAAGUACCGUGAGGGAAAGCGUGAAAAGAACCCCGGGAGGGGAGUGAAAUAGAACCUGAAACCGCGUGCUUACAAGCCGUUAAAGCACGAUGUUACGGGCUUGCCCGUAACGAGUGUGAUUGCGUGCCUUUUGUAGAAUGAACCGGCGAGUUACUGUAUGUUGCGAGGUUAAGUACGUGAAGUACGGAGCCAGAGCGAAAGCGAGUCUUAAUAGGGCACGGCACCGCAAGGUGCCAAGUAAUAUGCAGUAGACCCGAAGCCAGGUGAUCUAUCCAUGUCCAGGAUGAAGCACGAUUAAACUCGUGUGGAGGUCCGAACUGAUCGUUGUUGAAAAAACGUCGGAUGAGGUGUGGAUAGGGGUGAAAUGCCAAUCGAACCUGGUGAUAGCUGGUUCUCCCCGAAAUAGCUUUAGGGCUAGCGUUCAGGGUUUAUGCGCAGGGGUAGAGCACUGACAGAGCUAGGGGCCUUACCGGGUUACCGAACUCCAUCAAACUCCGAAUACUGCGCAAUAUACCUGGGCAGUCAGACUGUGGGGGAUAAGCUUCAUAGUCGAGAGGGAAACAGCCCAGACCGUCGGCUAAGGUCUCUCAAUCUAUGCUAAGUGGUAAAGGAAGUGAGAGGUCUCAGACAGCCAGGAGGUUGGCUUAGAAGCAGCCAUCCUUGAAAGAGUGCGUAAUAGCUCACUGGUCGAGACAGCUUGCACCGAAAAUGUAAGGAGGCUCAAGCAUGGUACCGAAGCCACGGAGUUCAGGAGCAAUCCUGGAUUGGUAGGGGAGCAUUCUGUAGUAGGUAGAAGCCAGACUGCGAGGACUGGUGGACGAGGCAGAAGAGAGAAUGCCGGUAUAAGU
RNAcentral lists this ribosomal RNA (1194 nucleotides) under bacterium. RNAcentral describes it as "partial 23S ribosomal RNA". It matches the Rfam family "Bacterial large subunit ribosomal RNA", at positions 194 to 1307 of the family's 2925-position model. The record is from RNAcentral.